GACCUGCUUUCAAAUAUCAUCAUGUAUGCACCUUUAGUUCUUCAAAGUUGUUCUUCUAAAGUCACAGAAGCUUUUGAUUAUUUGUGCUUUCUGCCCCUUCAAACUGUGCAAGGGCUACUGAAGGCAGUGCAGCCCCUUCUCAAAGUCAGCAUAUCAGUGAGAGACUCCCUGAUACUUGUCCUUCGGAAAGCUAUGUUUGCCAGCCAGCUUGAUGCCAGGAAGUCUGCAGUUGCUGGGUUUUUGCUACUCCUGAAGAACUUCAAAGUCCUAGGCAGCUUGUCGUCCUCGCAGUGCAGUCAGUCUAUCGGGGUCAGCCAGGUGAGUGUGGCUCAUAUCAGCUGCUGU
Molecule: long non-coding RNA, 345 nt
Organism: Talpa occidentalis (Iberian mole)
Lineage: Eukaryota; Metazoa; Chordata; Mammalia; Eulipotyphla; Talpidae
Exons: 3
Source: RefSeq, a predicted model, not a curated record